This 96-nucleotide Y RNA is filed under the name Propithecus coquereli (Coquerel's sifaka). RNAcentral describes it as "Y RNA (ENSPCOG00000009394.1)". It matches the Rfam family "Y RNA". Rfam says of the family: Y RNAs are components of the Ro ribonucleoprotein particle (Ro RNP), in association with Ro60 and La proteins. The record is from Rfam by way of RNAcentral. Lineage: Eukaryota; Metazoa; Chordata; Mammalia; Primates; Indriidae.
GGCUGGUCUGAUGGUAGUGGGUUAUGAGAACUUAUUAACAUUAGUGUCACUAAAGUUGGUGUUCAACCCCCCACUGCUAAAUUUGACUGGCUUAAA